UCUGGUGACAAUGGCAAAGAGGUCACACCUGUUCCCAUGCCGAACACAGAAGUUAAGCUCUUUAGCGCCGAUGGUAGUCGG
This 81-nucleotide ribosomal RNA is filed under the name Staphylococcus xylosus. Lineage: Bacteria; Bacillati; Bacillota; Bacilli; Caryophanales; Staphylococcaceae. The record is from RNAcentral. RNAcentral also lists the same sequence under 1 other name.